CCUACGGGGUGCAGCAGUGGGGAAUAUUGCACAAUGGGCGCAAGCCUGAUGCAGCCAUGCCGCGUGUAUGAAGAAGGCCUUCGGGUUGUAAAGUACUUUCAGCAGGGAGGAAGGCGAUAAGGUUAAUAACCUUGUCGAUUGACGUUACCCGCAGAAGAAGCACCGGCUAACUCCGUGCCAGCAGCCGCGGUAAUACGGAGGGUGCAAGCGUUAAUCGGAAUUACUGGGCGUAAAGCGCACGCAGGCGGUCUGUCAAGUCGGAUGUGAAAUCCCCGGGCUCAACCUGGGAACUGCAUUCGAAACUGGCGGGCUAGAGUCUUGUAGAGGGGGGUAGAAUUCCAGGUGUAGCGGUGAAAUGCGUAGAGAUCUGGAGGAAUACCGGUGGCGAAGGCGGCCCCCUGGACUAAGACUGACGCUCAGGUGCGAAAGCGUGGGGAGCAAACAGGAUUAGAUACCCCCGUA
Molecule: ribosomal RNA, 462 nt
Filed under: uncultured bacterium
Lineage: Bacteria
Description: bacterial SSU rRNA
Rfam family: Bacterial small subunit ribosomal RNA
Source: RNAcentral